GUUUUAAUAGUUUAAAAAAAACGUCGGUCUUGUAAACCGAAAUUAAGAGCAGCCCCCACUUUUAAAACU
RNAcentral lists this transfer RNA (69 nucleotides) under Dericorys annulata. RNAcentral's name for it is "tRNA-Thr". It matches the Rfam family "tRNA". Rfam says of the family: Transfer RNA (tRNA) molecules are approximately 80 nucleotides in length. The record is from RNAcentral. Lineage: Eukaryota; Metazoa; Arthropoda; Insecta; Orthoptera; Dericorythidae.